GCCACAGCUCAGUGUUUAGAGCAUCCACCUUACAUGUGGAGGGUCGCAGGUUCAAUCUCCGGCAUCUGAGAGACC
Non-coding RNA from Podarcis lilfordi (Lilford's wall lizard), 75 nucleotides. The record is from the annotation of a GenBank genome assembly. NCBI's taxonomy places the organism in Eukaryota, Metazoa, Chordata, Lepidosauria, Squamata, Lacertidae.